GAUGAACGCUGGCGGCGUGCCUAAUACAUGCAAGUCGAGCGAACGGACGAGAAGCUUGCUUCUCUGAUGUUAGCGGCGGACGGGUGAGUAACACGUGGAUAACCUACCUAUAAGACUGGGAUAACUUCGGGAAACCGGAGCUAAUACCGGAUAAUAUUUUGAACCGCAUGGUUCAAAAGUGAAAGACGGUCUUGCUGUCACUUAUAGAUGGAUCCGCGCUGCAUUAGCUAGUUGGUAAGGUAACGGCUUACCAAGGCAACGAUGCAUAGCCGACCUGAGAGGGUGAUCGGCCACACUGGAACUGAGACACGGUCCAGACUCCUACGGGAAGCAGCAGUAGGGAAUCUUCCGCAAUGGGCGGAAGCCUGACGGGGCAAAGCCGCGGGAGUGAUGAAGGUCUUCGGAUCGUAAAACUCUGUUAUUAGGGAAGAACAUAUGUGGAAGUAACUGUGCACAUCUUGACGGUACCUAAUCAGAAAGCCACGGCUAACUACGUG
This 497-nucleotide ribosomal RNA is filed under the name uncultured bacterium. RNAcentral describes it as "partial 16S ribosomal RNA". It matches the Rfam family "Bacterial small subunit ribosomal RNA", at positions 28 to 507 of the family's 1533-position model. The record is from RNAcentral.